RNAcentral lists this long non-coding RNA (624 nucleotides) under Setaria viridis. RNAcentral describes it as "long non-coding RNA (SVIR_LNC011181)". The record is from RNAcentral. Lineage: Eukaryota; Viridiplantae; Streptophyta; Magnoliopsida; Poales; Poaceae.
UGCAAUACCAUGCAAAGCUUGCAUGUAUGAAAUGAAUGUAUGAAUGAAUGAAUGCUUGUGCGUGAGGGUUAGAAUGAAGGGUUACAAAGUUAACGUGAAGGACACCCUUAACUUUAGUCUCUCGUCUUUGUGUGAUGAAAGCUUCGUGAGAUAACUAAAAUCCAAUGAUACCGAAGUCCAAAUAGAAUGCCCGGAGACCAAUUGAUGAAGUCUAAUGGAUAUAGAAAAAUAAUUGAAAUGGCACAACCAUUUUUAAAUCAAUAAUGGAAUAAGAUAACCACGAAACCAUUAGCUUCGGGGAGAAAACCGAUUACCCAAAAGCAAUAUCCUGCAAGAAAUGUGACGAAGUGCGCAUGCAAAACAUGAUAGUUCCAUGCAUCCCCUCCAUGUGAAUGGGAUACAAAGUAGAAUUAAGAAUAUCAUGUAGCGCAUUUGAGAUGAGGGUAUAUGAACAUAUGAAAACAGAGGGCAAAAAACGCUAGAAUUCCUUACCUUGGUGAGAAGGGUCAUCCUAAAAAAGAGAUGUUAUAUCCUUCCAUAUGAAGGGUUAGUGUGAGCGCUAGAUUAAGUAAAGGCUCCCAAAAUGAAGGGUAAGAAUGAAAACCGAUUAUGCAUAAAUAAAAC